AGUUUGAUCAUGGCUCAGGAUGAACGCUAGCGGGAGGCUUAACACAUGCAAGUCGAGGGGUAUAAUUAGCAAUAGUUAGAGACCGGCGCACGGGUGACUAACGCGUAUGCAACCUGCCCUUUACCGGGGGAUAGCCCGUAGAAAUGCGGAUUAAUACCCCAUAGGUCUGUCAGAUCGCAUGGUUUGACAGAUAAAGCUGAGGUGGUAAAGGAUGGGCAUGCGUGACAUUAGCUUGUUGGUGAGGUAACGGCUCACCAAGGCUGCGAUGUCUAGGGGUUCUGAGAGGAAGAUCCCCCACACUGGUACUGAGACACGGACCAGACUCCUACGGGAGGCAGCAGUGAGGAAUAUUGGUCAAUGGGCGAGAGCCUGAACCAGCCAUCCCGCGUGCAGGAAGAAUGCCCUAUGGGUUGUAAACUGCUUUUUCGCAUGAAGAACAUCCCGAACGAGUUCGGGACUGACGGUAAUGCGUGAAUAAGCACCGGCUAACUCCGUGCCAGCAGCCGCGGUAAUACG
RNAcentral lists this ribosomal RNA (516 nucleotides) under uncultured bacterium. RNAcentral's name for it is "bacterial SSU rRNA". It matches the Rfam family "Bacterial small subunit ribosomal RNA", at positions 10 to 527 of the family's 1533-position model. The record is from RNAcentral.